GUGCCAGCAGCCGCGGUAAUACGUAGGCAGCGAGCGUUGUUCGGAGUUACUGGGCGUAAAGAGUGUGUAGGCGGUUCGCCAAGUUCGGUGUGAAAUCUCCCGGCUUAACUGGGAGGGUGCGCCGAAUACUGGCGGGCUUGAGUGCGGGAGAGGAAAGCGGAAUUCCUGGUGUAGCGGUGAAAUGCGUAGAUAUCAGGAGGAACACCUGCGGUGUAGACAGCUUUCUGGACCGCGACUGACGCUGAGACACGAAAGCGUGGGGAGCAAACAGGAUUAGAAACCCUUGUAGUCC
This 292-nucleotide ribosomal RNA is filed under the name uncultured bacterium. RNAcentral's name for it is "partial 16S ribosomal RNA". It matches the Rfam family "Bacterial small subunit ribosomal RNA", at positions 505 to 796 of the family's 1533-position model. The record is from RNAcentral.